AUGAGCUGGAACGUGCGCGGGCUAAACUCGCCGGCGAAGCGAGAGGCCGUUCGCGAGGUAGUUGCGGCUCACUGCACGGCCAUCCUCUGUCUCCAGGAGACCAAACUGGACGAGUGGAACCCCAGUCUGGUUCGCGACAUCAACGGAGCAAACCUGCUGGGCUGCGUCGUGCUGCCCGCCAUUGGCACGCGCGGCGGCGCGGCGAUCAUCUGGAACAAGGACGUAGUCGCCGUAGAUACUCACGUAGUAGGCCAAUUCGCGAUCACAGUUAAAGUAGCGGUAGCCUGCAAUCAUACGUCGUUCUGGCUCACUACGGUCUACGGGCCGACAGAUGAUGUGCACAAAGAUGCGUUCCUCGCAGAGCUUGCGAGAAUGGCUCCUCCACCAGAUGAACCCUGGAUAAUCAACAGCGAUUUCAACCUCAUUUACAAAGCUAGAGAUAAGAACAAUCUCAAUUUAAACACAAGGCUUAUGGGCUGUUUCAGAGCGGCGAUCGAUAGCGCAGGCCUGCGACAUAUCAAGUGCAGCAACUGUAGGUUUACCUGGAGCAAUGAGCGGGAAAACCCCACUCUAGUGAGUAUUGAUAAGUUCUUCUGCAACAUCCACUAG
Molecule: ribosomal RNA, 609 nt
Filed under: Triticum aestivum (bread wheat)
Lineage: Eukaryota; Viridiplantae; Streptophyta; Magnoliopsida; Poales; Poaceae
Description: partial small subunit ribosomal RNA
Source: RNAcentral